GAUUGCAAUUCCUUUCUGUAAUCGCGGACUAG
This 32-nucleotide non-coding RNA is filed under the name unclassified sequences. The record is from Rfam.